AGGGAAUAUUGGACAAUGGGCGCAAGCCUGAUCCAGCCAUGCCGCGUGAGUGAAGAAGGCCUUCGGGUUGUAAGCUCUUUUGUCCGGAAAGAAAAGCAUCCAGUUAAUACCAGGGUGUCCUGACGGUACCGGAAGAAUAAGCACCGGCUAACUUCGUGCCAGCAGCCGCGGUAAUACGAAGGGUGCAAGCGUUACUCGGAAUUACUGGGCGUAAAGCGUGCGUAGGUGGUUUGUUAAGUCUGAUGUGAAAGCCCUGGGCUCAACCUGGGAAUGGCAUUGGAUACUGGCAGGCUAGAGUGCGGUAGAGGGCAGUGGAAUUCCCGGUGUAGCAGUGAAAUGCGUAGAGAUCGGGAGGAACAUCUGUGGCGAAGGCGACUGCCUGGACCAGCACUGACACUGAGGCACGAAAGCGUGGGGAGCAAAC
This 424-nucleotide ribosomal RNA is filed under the name uncultured bacterium. RNAcentral's name for it is "bacterial SSU rRNA". It matches the Rfam family "Bacterial small subunit ribosomal RNA", at positions 356 to 773 of the family's 1533-position model. The record is from RNAcentral.